Molecule: ribosomal RNA, 256 nt
Filed under: uncultured Rhizophagus
Lineage: Eukaryota; Fungi; Glomeromycota; Glomeromycetes; Glomerales; Glomeraceae
Description: partial large subunit ribosomal RNA
Rfam family: Eukaryotic large subunit ribosomal RNA
Source: RNAcentral
GAAAGAUGAAAAGAACUUUGAAAAGAGAGUUAAACAGUACGUGAAAUUGUUGAAAGGGAAACGAUUGAAGCCAGUCGUACCUUCGGGUAAUCAGCCUUUCGGGUGCGAUUCUGUGGAGUUUGAGGAGCUUAACACCUUCAUGCUUUGCAUAUUCGUGCUCUUGGGUGUACUUGCCCGUGUGGUUGGUUAACAUCAAUUUUGGUGGUCAUAAAAUGACUGGAGGAAUGUAGCUUCGAUCUUGUAUUGAAGUGUUAUA